UCCCUGGUGGUCCAGUGGCUAAGAUUCUGCACUCCCAGUGCAGGGGACCUGGGUUCACUUCCUGGUCAGGGAA
This 73-nucleotide transfer RNA is filed under the name Bos taurus (domestic cattle). It matches the Rfam family "tRNA". Rfam says of the family: Transfer RNA (tRNA) molecules are approximately 80 nucleotides in length. Lineage: Eukaryota; Metazoa; Chordata; Mammalia; Artiodactyla; Bovidae. The record is from Rfam by way of RNAcentral. RNAcentral also lists the same sequence under 2 other names.